Molecule: long non-coding RNA, 424 nt
Filed under: Nicotiana tabacum (common tobacco)
Lineage: Eukaryota; Viridiplantae; Streptophyta; Magnoliopsida; Solanales; Solanaceae
Description: long non-coding RNA (NTAB_LNC004563)
Source: RNAcentral
GACCCUGCGAAUAUGCCCAACGCUGUUCGACCCCAGACUCCUACUUACCACCCCCCUCAGCAGCCCGCAAUGGCUGGUAACCCGCAGCAGCCCACGAUGCCUGGUUAUACUCAAAAUCCGCCACCUUAUGGUCCUCCUCAGCAGCCUACACCGCCUUACCAUUUGCAAGCUUCCGGUCCCCCAUAUCCACCGCCUCAACAUCAACAACAACCACCACCGAACCACGAGUAUGGCCAACCUGCGUAUCCUGGAUGGCGGGGUCCCUAUUAUAAUGCACCUCCACAGCAGCCUGCACCUCCUCAGCAACCGGGUUCUAUGCCUCGACCUCCUUAUACCGUCCCUUCUCCAUAUCAUCCUCCUCACCAUCAGAGUGGCUAUUACCGCCAAUGAUAGUUUUCCUAUUUGUCUUCAUGUGCAUCCUUGA